Molecule: long non-coding RNA, 472 nt
Filed under: Chrysemys picta bellii (western painted turtle)
Lineage: Eukaryota; Metazoa; Chordata; Testudines; Emydidae
Description: lncRNA (ENSCPBG00000009884.1)
Source: RNAcentral
ACCCUGAGAAAAAAAAUAGGGAAUCCCACAGUUUUGUUUCAUAAGGUCACUUUUCUGACUUGACUGCACUUGAAGGGAAGUCAGAAAAACAGAAAAGAUAAAUAAAGCCUUGUUGUACAGUUGGUUAGUAUAUGAUCUUUUUAUACUGUCUGUAUAUGAGAGGAAAUUACAAAAAGAACCAUGUGUAAUGCUAACAGAAUGGGGCAGAAGGAAUUUUAAGUCAAUUAUUUUUUUUCACCAUUGUAUUUUCAUUUUAGAACAAGAGACGGUGGCCUCACCAGUUGUCUCACAUUUACUGUUAUUCAUCAUAGUGGGAGUGCUUGUUGCUGUAUUCAUUAUUGUGUUGGGUUCACUUAUAUGGCAUUUUGGAAAGUGCAAACACAGACCAGGAAGGACCUAAAUCACAGCCCAGGCCUGUGCACCCUGGAAACGAUGUUGCCUCAGUUACUAAAGACUGUGUUCCUCUGAAAGG